UGAGGAACAUGACCUUCGGCGGGGGAUAGCCGGCCCAACGGCCGGGUAAUACCGCGUACGACCACUUUGGGACAUCCCUCGGUGGUGAAAGCAGCAAUGCGCCGAUGGAGUGCCUCGCGGCCUAUCAGCUAGUUGGUGAGGUAACGGCUCACCAAGGCGACGACGGGUAGCUGGUCUGAGAGGAUGGCCAGCCACAUUGGGACUGAGACACGGCCCAGACUCCUACGGGAGCAG
RNAcentral lists this ribosomal RNA (234 nucleotides) under uncultured bacterium. Its description in RNAcentral is "partial 16S ribosomal RNA". It matches the Rfam family "Bacterial small subunit ribosomal RNA", at positions 118 to 347 of the family's 1533-position model. The record is from RNAcentral.